AAGAACCUUACCAAAUCUUGACAUCCUUUGACAACUCUAGAGAUAGAGCUUUCCCCUUUGGGGGGACAAAGUGACAGGUGGUGCAUGGUUGUCGUCAGCUCGUGUCGUGAGAUGUUGGGUUAAGUCCCGCAACGAGCGCAACCCUUAAGCUUAGUUGCCAUCAUUUAGUUGGGCACUCUAAGUUGACUGCCGGUGACAAACCGGAGGAAGGUGGGGAUGACGUCAAAUCAUCAUGCCCCUUAUGAUUUGGGCUACACACGUGCUACAAUGGACAAUACAAAGGGUAGCGAAACCGCGAGGUCAAGCAAAUCCCAUAAAGUUGUUCUCAGUUCGGAUUGUAGUCUGCAACUCGACUACAUGAAGCUGGAAUCGCUAGUAAUCGUAGAUCAGCAUGCUACGGUGAAUACGUUCCCGGGUCUUGUACACACCGCCCGUCACACCACGAGAGUUUGUAACACCCGAAGCCGGUGGAGUAACCAUUUGGAGCUAGCCGUCGAAGGUGGGACAAAUGAUUGGGGUGAAGUCGUAACAAGGUAACCGUACCU
This 545-nucleotide ribosomal RNA is filed under the name uncultured bacterium. RNAcentral describes it as "bacterial SSU rRNA". It matches the Rfam family "Bacterial small subunit ribosomal RNA", at positions 964 to 1507 of the family's 1533-position model. The record is from RNAcentral.